Molecule: long non-coding RNA, 20557 nt
Filed under: Sorghum bicolor (sorghum)
Lineage: Eukaryota; Viridiplantae; Streptophyta; Magnoliopsida; Poales; Poaceae
Description: long non-coding RNA (SBIC_LNC003866)
Source: RNAcentral
UGCCUUUGCAGUGCUAACUUGUCCUCGCUCAUAGUCAAGCAAUGCACCAUAAAAAUCUGCGCCACCAACGAAAGUAUCAACAUUGGUUGCCUUGACCUAAAAAGGUGACGAAAUUAAGAAUUACAACAUCUAUCUCAACACCUGCAUAGAGAAUCUGUACAAGAUAUGAGAAGUAGAUUACCUCAACACUCCAUUGAUAACUCAACAAUUGACACAUUCAGAGGUACAUUCAGAAGGUACAUGCACCGAACCCUGGUGUUGGCAAUAUGUUAUGGUCUUUUUAAAAGUAGAGACUUUUUUUUUGAAAGACACUAUGCCAGAGCACUUGUGCUUACUGCCGAAUCUACUAGCCAUUUAACAAUGUUUUUCUUUCAUAACAAAUCAGCGAAUAAUACUUUCAGUCAUGACUUAUCAGCUAAACAAACAGGCUUAGAUCAAACCGUUCAAGGCAGCAGCAAAGCAUGCACACAACAUUAGUAUCCUCGUAAAAAGUUACCUUCCAUGUAGGAGAGCUACCAGUGAAGCUAAGGCCUUGUUUAGUUCGCAAAAACUUUUGGUUCGAAAUACUGUAGUACUUUCGUUUUUAUUUGACAAAUAUUGUCUAAUUAUAGAGUAACUAGACUCAAAAGAUUCAUCUCGCGGUUUACAGACAAAUUGUGUAUUUAGUUUUUAUUUUCAUCUAUAUUUAAUACUCCAUGCAUGUGUCGCAAGAUUCGAUGUGACGAAGAAUCUUGAAAAUUUUUUGAGUUUUUGGAUGAACUGAAAAGGCCUAACCUAGGCACACUGCCAUCUUCUGUCCCUUUGGUUCCACCAUUAUCCCUGAAUCUUUGGCUUUGUUUAGUUCACGAAAAAUUUUGGGUUUUAAUACGGUAGCACUUUCGGUUUCACUUGACAAUUAUUAUUCAAUUAUAGACUAACUAGACUUAAAAGAUUCAACAUCAAAUGGAGUUGCACAUCCGUUGGACUUUAAUUUUUGCCAUAAAAAUAUAAAAAUAACCUAGAUAACAUAGAUAACAUAUCUAUUGGAGUUGCUCUAAAGUUCCAAACACAUUAACUAAAAGAAACUAAAAUAGUUUAGUUCCAUUAGUCACUUAAGAAUAGCUAAAAUAAUAUAAUUUUAGAAUUUAGCAACGGUAACCAGAGCCUUAGUUAAAUUUGAACUAGUUUGACUCACGCGAUUUCUGUAAUUGUUUCUGCUGCUUUGGCGUGCCCCCCUCCCGCGCCGCUGCCGAUCUCUUUCGCUUCCCCGUCCGCCGCCGCUCGCUCCACCCCUCCGACGGCGCGCUCGCCACCUCGCCCGCCGCCGCGACUUACCCGCUGCGCGCGCGCGCAUUCAGGAGUUUCCCACCGCUCUCGGGCCCGUCACGCUCGACGCCUAUCUCCAGCAGCUCGCUAGAGCCGGGCGCCUAACGGACGCUGUCAAAGUGUUCGACGAAUUGCCGGUGCAGUUCCGUAACCAUGACACUUUGCUGGUCUCCUCGCUUUCUGCCGGGAGCUACCCCUUGCACGCAGAGCGUGCUGCGAAGAAGGUCGCCAACGAGAUCUUCCCGGAUGACAAUAUCUGUACUUUGCUGGUAUCUGGCCAAUAUGCUGGUAAGCUCGACCGUGCACUAAGGUUGGUUGGUGAGACAUGUAGAGGUCGGUUGCAGCCAGGAUUGUAUGUACACAUUGCUGUUCUUGGUUGUGUCUGCCGGCUCUGUCACAAGGACCCACUGAGGAUGCCCAUGGAAGCAGAUAAGUUCUUAGUUGACAUGGAAGCCAAUGGCAUUCCCCGUGAUGCAGGGACAUUUCGGGUUCUUAUCACAAUUUUUUUCAAGAUCCACAAGACAGAGGAUGCCAUGAAUCUGUUCCAGCAUACUAUAGGUGAGUGGGACUGCUCAGAGGAGCUGAGAGCCUGAGACGUACUUGGUGCUCAUCAGCAGCUUGUACCAAGCUGCUCGAACUUCAGAGGGGGAUGAGAUGAUGACAUCGUUGUGGUAAGGAUUUGGAGAUAAACUUGAUAGGAAGGCAUAUUGCGGAUUCAUCAAGAUCUUAUGUGGGAUUGAGAGGGUUGAACAUGCUAUUCUGUAUGGUGAAAGGUUAUGGGCGUGCUCCUGGAGUAAAAUCAUAUAGCUUGCUCAUUGAGAAGCUGGCUGGGCACAAUUUAGGGGAUCGUUCCAAUGCACUGUUCAGGGAGGCCAUUGCACGUGGUGUAGCUGUGCAGAAUGAGAGUAUAAAUUGACAAAAGGUAUGUUAAGGCAAAGGAGGAGUGAAGAAAAGGCUGACUCUGCCACAGAAGAUGAGAUUGAAGAGCAAGAGGUUAUACAAGCUCAGAAUGAGCUUUGUCAAGAAGCCCAAGCGUCGAAUGCUCCAGGCUUAAGCAGAAUUUGGGUAUUCCCAUAGUCAUGCUGAUUUCAUUACUCGUUCAUAAAUCAUAAUACUAUCUUUGCUUCAGCAUUUGCCAUGUCGAUCGUGAUCUUUUCUGAGAAUCAGUUUGUCAUUCUUUGUUAAUCAUUUUAUCCUGCGCUACUGUCACUAUAUCUUACUUCAUCACACUUGAAUUAUAGAAGCACAAUAAAAUCAUUUCCCCCCAAAGGUUCUAGUAUGCAGAUUCAAAACUCUGUUUAGAAUAUUGGCACAUUCAAAAACGAUUUAUAAGGAAAAACCUAGUUUCUCCAUGAAUGUGUUUAGGAGUAUUGUUUUACACCAUUAUAGUAAGAUGCUUAUGAAAAGCCUAGUUUCUCCAUGAAUGUGUAUAAGACAAGUUAUAAGGAAAAACGUACCAGUAGAUGUAUCAGUGUGAUGCUGAAUAUGCUGUGAAGUCAAGAAAAUCUAGGAAGAAUGUUCUUUUGGGGAUGAGGGAAGUUAGCAUGUAUUUGUCUAAAUUGGGUAGUUUCACUUGAAUUUUGUUGCUGAGCUCGUAUCAAUUUUUUCUGAUCCAGUAACCACUAACCAGUAGAUCAUCGUUAUAACAUGGAAAUGAGUGUAGUUUCUUAGGAAAUUUUAGGUGCCCCAAACAUUGCUUUGUCAUGUUAUUUUUGUCAAACUGGCUAUUUUGUUAUUUGUUUAAUCCUCUGUAGUAGUUGCAUAGAUAAUAAAUAUUAAAUAUUGGCAUAUUCAAAACAAUCUGUGGUAAUCCGUGCAUCUGUGUGUGUGUGGGUGUGUUCUACUUUAAGUUCUCUUCUUCUUAAUGCAAUGAUAUGUAGCUCUCCUGCGUUUCGAGAAAAAAAGAGAUUUUUUGUCAAAUGCAGAUGCUUGGUAAAAUGGAUACUAGAAAUUUCAUGAAAACCACGAUGCACUGUUUACAAUCACCAAAAUUCCUGGAUCACUCCUUUGUUAGGACUGGAUGAUGAUAGAAUGUGUACGUAUAUAUCAUAUAUGCAAGCCUAUACUUGAGUAUCAAAAGCUUAGUUUGGUUUCAUGUUCCUUGUCCAAUAUUACCUGACUCUCUGCCUCCACAAAGCUAGUAGAAACUGGAUUUUUUUUGUUCCUCUUCAUUUAGAGCAGUCCAGUCUGCUGCAGAAUAGCUUCAUGGGAACAAUGCAGCUAUAUUUGUUUUAGAAAAUCAAAUUUUUUACUUUAUGGACCUUUGACUAUGAAAGUAAAGCUGCUUUGCUCAGGUUCUCACACCGGCCUGUGAAAUACGAGUUCCAAAUAACUUUCUGUUAUGUGUUGCUAAGGUUGCACUGAUACAAAGUUUCUUACUACCAUGCUGGCGUUUUGUUUUGUUACAUAUAGGCAUGACCAGAGCAUACUCCAUAUUAUAGGAGUGUUGGGUUGUAUCCAUUUUUUAAGCUCCCCUACGGCACCAGAGCAUAUACAGCAUAGCAGAUUAGAAUGUACUUAGCCCCAUCACUACAAGUCUACAUGUAGGCUCCUCCAACUUUCUGUAUUGUAUCAUAUCAUGAGCUUGACUUACAAAUUUGGCUUCUUACCAUCCAGUGUUUAACAUAUGGAAUAUGCUCUGGCCACGCAACAUCUUCCUUGCUCUUAAGUUUGAUCAUCCUUUUAGUGUCGAACAUAAUUCUCAUGUUUGUGAAGUUGCAAGUGCUCAACACAUACUCCUAUGUGUGACUGUUUUGGCUGAAGUUACAAGAUACUCCCUCCGUCUCAAAAUAGAAGGCGUAACUGUUUUUUUCUAAUGUCCUAGCAUAUAAGGCGCAGCUCUUUAAUCCAAUAGUUCACACGCAUGCAGCCAUGCAAUAUUUACUGCACCUGCACAGUUUCUCACCUUUCUAUUCACGCUAAUUUAAGUUAUUGUCUUUCUCUCUCUAGUGGGGACUGGUUGGCCUGCACUUAGCAUUUAGUUGAGCGCUGGUCUCCGUACACAUGUUACAAGAACCAAAGUAUCAAUUGUGAGAGAGAUCAAAAAUUAAAACUUUUCUUGGUCUGCGCACAUAAGGCAAUUGCGCCUUCUAUCCUGAGACGGAGGGAGUAAAUGGAUAAUGUACUAGAGGCCACUAUCAUUAUCAGUGAUCUUACCAGUCAUCUCAUCUGUUAGAUUCCAGUUUGACCUAAUUUUCUGCCCGCAACAUGAUGCCUCUGCACCGAGAAAUUAAGGAUUUAAAAGUUUGUGCUUUUUGCCCAAAAUGUUUUCUUUUGUAAACUGCCUGCACAUCUUUCUGCAAUUGCGGUAGUAAUGAUUUGUAACCAUGUAUCAGUUUGGUUGGAGCGGACGAUCAUGGGAAUGGACACCACCAGAUCCAAAUCAAGAUCAGAAAAUGGUUGUCCCUGAAUUGUGUCUAUCCUUGUGAGUGGCUAUGCAACAUCAUUUUUGGAAUGCUGAGGGCUCCGUAUGGUUUCACUUUUGGGUUGAUGGUCUGGUGACUCCAGUAAUGUCAUUACAACACGAAUAAUGUACCAUUUCACUUCAUUUAAUUGUACUGUUUCUAAUAGAAAAGCAUUGGAACUCUGCAACAACUCGUCCAAAACUAAUUGGACCACCUCUUGCUGAAGAAGCUUGCUGUUUACUGAUUGCCCCCACUUUUAUGAGCGAAAAUGUAUGUUUCAAUGUUCUCGAGUGCUAAUACAUGAACAUCAAUUUUCACUCACUGACAAAGUGGCAAUCGAAGAGUUUUUGUUUCUCCACACCUGCUUGAUUCCUGCGCGUCACAUCACGGUGCACUCAUGCAGAGAGACCCGUUCCUUUCCGAGAUUUCGAUCAGGUAGGUUAGGUAUGACCCUCUUCUUUUGUAGUAUUGUAUGCGACUUUAUUUAUACACUGUACCUGGUUUGCGUGCACUGGUUCCUCUUUUUGUGAGCUCUCAUUUCAUAAACCAAAUCUCGGAUCAAGCUGCUAUCAUCCACACCAUUAUAGAGGGUCUCUCUCUCUCUCUCUCGAUAACAUAAAGUAUGUGCUUCAGGGACGACCCUUUGGCACAGUCUCAUCUCCGGUGCACCCAGUCCUUCAGUGAGUGGCGACCGAAAAAGAUAUUUGGAAAAGACAAGAAAAUCGAAAAAAAAUUCGUUUUCACCUGUAUAUAUAAAAAAAAAUUGGCACCCAACGGGUCCCCUACUGGAAUUGCUGAUGUGUGAUUUCUUUUUCACCGUUACGCAAUCUGAAAAAAAAAAGAAAAUCAAAUCUUUCACGGUUUGUGCAAGAUGCUUCAGGCGUGCUGCUGCUGGGUGUGCAAGUGCAAAUCUAGGGGAGGAACAAUAACGAGCACGGGGUUCGCCCAAAUCUGUCGAUUUUUUAGCCGCUGCAGCGAAGAAUUUGACAGGCCACCAACCUUGGACCCUGCCCCAUUGUACCCCUGAUCGCCUCAGGUAGCUAUUUCCGUUUUUCCGUUUCCUCCCUCCCGGGACGCGGAAUGGACGGACGGACGGACAGCAGUGGAGGCGGUGACACUGACAGCGAUGGGUACGGCCCAGAAUUAUUGGGGGUCGCGCAUCACGUCCUUUCCGGCGCGAUCUCUCUCCUCCGUCUCUCUCUUAUCAGAAACAGGCUCCGGCGAUCGGCGUGCCCCUGACCUAAAAACACGCCAUGAUUCGCCGCUAUCUUGCUGCUGUUCCUCUGUUGGGUGGUGACAGAUGACUGGUUGUUGAGCCUCCGUUUCCAGAACCAGAAACUGCAAGCCGCAUUUGCGUGAUGCCACCAGGCCUUGCAUUGCAAUUUGCUAUCAGAUAAUCGGAUGGAUAUGGAUGGAAGGGAAGAUGACAGCUCUCAUGCUGUGAGCUACACGGAAGCUUGAGGAUGACACGUCGGUCAAUAUCUCCACCUCUGUUCAUCUGCAACUUCUGAUUGGCGGAGCCACGUAGCCUAGGGGAAUGCCGGUUUGACACCUGGAACGGUCCAUUUUCGUGAUCCCAAACUGUAUAAUACUUCAGCUACUGUCUUAAGAUGAGAUGGCCUCAUCUUAUCUCCAAGGACGAAGGGCGGCAUGUCAAAGGGAAGGGCCCAAUCUGAUGAGGCAUAUGGUGGUGUGGCAUCUUUUCCUUGAUGCCUUGUGAUCAACUCAUCUGGAAAAACAAGCAAGUAAAGUACCUAUGCAAAUUGCAACUGAUGGCUUCUUUAUUUGUCCAUACUCCCUUUGUACCAAAUUAUAAGUCAAAUACAUAAAUUUGUUAUGCACCUAGAUAUCAGCAGGGGCGUCCCAGAGCCCGUGCGGGCCGUACGACCGAACUGGACCCUAAAAUUUAUGGGCUCCAACAUUUACUAAGGGUUCUAAGUAUAUAUAUAAUAAUUUUAGGUUUCUUUUAAUUAGUAAAUUAGUCACAAACUCAAUAAACAUGGCCUGCUACUUCCCUCGAGACAAAGCACAUUGAGUCCAUGAUCGUGAGUUAGAAAAGUCUACGGCCAGUAAUUCUUCUUCACAUAAGUUUAUAACCCUUUAUGAGUUUGUGGUUUCAUCUUUUGGACCUGUUCCUCGCCCUUGGUGUUAUUCGUCGCUCAAGAGUCUGAGACCUAGUAGCAAUUCUAGACGACGAGUCCCAGAUUAGGACACCAAACGGAGAUCAUUGUCCGGUAUAAAUUCCAUGUACAAUCUCUAUUUUAUUUAGUUAAUCUUUUAUAUAUUGCCUUUAUAAUAUAUUAAUAUUAUAUUUUUUAUAUUUUAAUAAUAGAUGGUAGACCUUCACUUGUUUUGAACCGGGACGCCCCUGAUAUCAGUCUCGGAUUCUUAAAAACUCGUUUUGUCUCUAGUUUCUAAAACUUGGAUUCUGAGCCAAAAAAAAACCUAGUGAGAGUGUUUAGAUCCUCCGGUUUUUAAAAAUCUGACUUCAUUUAUCGCUCUAUGGGUAACAAGCUGGCAAAAGCUAACAACUUUCUGGUUUUUAAGAAUGUGACAAAAACUAACAGAAAAAAACUGACUUGUUUAGACCCCACCCACUAUUUGGAAACUAGAUUAUCUGGAGGGAUCCAAACAAGAUUCAUGUCUAGAUACAUGACAAAUAUUACGUCUAGAUACAUGGCAACACUAAUGUACCUAGAAAAAUAAAAUAACUAAUAAUUUAAAGCAGAGGGAGUAUUUCCUUCUGUUAAUGCGAAUUCGAGGCGAGGUAGGUAGGUAGGCAGACAUGAACACAGCACAACUGCUCGUAGUAAUUUAGGCCUUGUUGAGUUGAGAGAAUUUUUUGGUUUUGGCUACUGUAGCACUUUCGUUUGUUUGUGACAAAUAUUGUCCAAUCAUGGACUAACUAGACUCAAAAGAUUCAGCUCGCGAAUUACAGGUAAACUGUGUAAUCAGUAUUUGUUUUUGUCUAUAUUUAGUACUUCAUGCAUGUGCCACAAGAUUCGAUGUGACGUGAAAUCUUGAAAUUUUUUAGGAACUAAACAAUGCCUUACACUUUGGGAUCAUGAAGCAAGCGGUGGCGGCCACAUUGUACUAGCUGCACUGCAAGCAACUGCGGGGUGCGCGUAAAGAUCUGGGGUAGGGUAGCAUCAAAGGCAUGUUUGAUGGAUGGAUGGACCUCGCUCGCUCGCUCCCUCCAUCUCCAUGGUCCAUGCAUGCUGCCAUCUGCAUUUCUGCAAUACAAUGCCUCCUCUUCCCCAUCCUCUGCGUCAGUUGCAGAUGAAGACAGCAGCCCAAUCGUUUUCUCCAAAAAGAUGAGGAGGACCGCAGUCGCCCGCUGCAACUUGCGUGGGUUCUCUAUCAUCGGCUCGAUGCCAACUGACAAAAGCCCCCUUCUUCUAAUCUACCCCACGGUAGAUUCCGUUACUGAAAGCCACUAAGUCCAAGCGCAGGUGAAUGGAAACGCCCGAUGUUUAUUGCAGGAAGGAAGCUUAAUGAACAAUCUUUAAUUAAUAAUAAUCUUAUAAUCUACCAGGAACAGGCAGCCAGGCAGGCAGGUGGGGAAGCUGGGUUAGGAUAAGUACGAGAGGGCAAGCCGCACGUGCGGGGCAGCUCGACAGAUGGACGCAACCAAAAUUUAAUCAUCUCCGGGAACACAAAGAUAAAAGCCACACAUCUGCAGUGGUGGAGUGGAAGGCUUCACAGGCCCAGAGGAAAAGGGCGAAGGAGGGAGAUGGGAUUGGAAUUGGAAUAAAAAAAAAGGAAGAGAGCAGGAGAAGCGCGCGCACAACACAAUCCGCAGGCCGCAGCAGAGGAGUGAGUGCAGAGGAGACAUUCAGAUCAAACCCAAGGUGUCGCCUUCUUCCUCUUCCCCCUCCUCCUGAUAUCGACGUCCACCCUCUCCUCGAUUUCCUUUUCCGGGUUUUAAAUAUAAAUCGCCAGCAAUUCUGUACGCAAUACGUUGAGUGCGAAAGAUCCUACGCAGUAUAUGCGUAUGUAUGUGUGUGUGCGUCUGCGCUUCCUUGCUUCCCCUGCCUUCUUUUAUUCUCCUCUCCUUUGUUCGCUUGCGGGCUUGCGGCUUCGGGAAGGAGGAGAGGACGAGGGGCGGGCGGGUGGGCGGGCGAAUGCACAGUUCCGGUGAGUUCUUGGAAUCCGACCCGGCUCUUCUUGAUUCGUUUCCGCGGCCGUGAUCUUAGGGUUGGUUCUUGGUUUGGGCGCUGCUCGAGGCGGAAACACGAUUUUAUCCGGCGCGCAGACGCCUCGAAGCUCGAACUGCGAUUCUAACUCUCACUCGUGCUGUCGUGUGUUCUUGGCACUGCCUGGGACAACAUUGGCUCCAAAAUGCGGCCGAAUUGUUGGUGUUUUUUGGAGUGUGGUUUUGUUGCUGGGAAGGGGUUUUAGGGAAUGCGGCUAAGGUGCGCGCGUUUUAGUCCAUCAGAGACUGGAAUUCUUGGGGCGGACGGACCCGGAGUUGCGCAUUCUUGAUCCCGCUGCUUUCGCCCGCCAAACAAUGAUGCGGCCGCCAUGGCCUUAUCCGAUUUCUUUAGGGUUCUUUUCCGUCGGGAGAAAGUACGCGAGAAAGUGGGGCCAAAGGGAGCAGCUUUUUACCAGUCUUCAGCAUCUACUACAAUGGAUUGUUCGCCCGCAGUGCUUCUGCUUCUUUUUCACUUUUUUUGGGCAGUAAAGUAGUAUUUGGGUGCUUUUGUUGGGAUUGUAAAAAAUAAAGAUCGGAAUCUUUGAACUGUUCUCAACUCAAAUGAUGGUUGCUAGAGCUUUCAGUUGCAAUUGCUCUGUUUCUUAUUGAUCUUUCCUCAGCUGUGGUCCAGACUCCAGAUUUCUUCAGCUUUCUCUAUCCCUUGAGCACAAAAAGAAAGGCAGCUUCUCUUCUUUCAUUUUCAAUUUUAUUAUGAUCUUUGAUUGAGUUGAUGUUACUGCUUGUGCAAUUCCCGUGUAUAAUGCUAAAGAGUUUGUUUCUUCUAUACCAGUUUAGAGCUUCUGUUUUGACGACGCUUGAAACUUAGUGAAGAUCAUUGUCAUGCUUCCCGUGUGCAGCCUUUUCAUAUGAGGUCAAUUGCAGCUGAAUGUUGAAUGGGUCUUUUUGCUGAGAUGAUCGUGAAAUGAUUUAUGCGAUAGUCUGUUGGACGUCUAAUCAUGGUUAGGAUUGGGUUCCGAGGCUUAUCUAUUAAUUUGCUAUAGGCAGCCAGUAAGAUUUCUGUAUACAACAGCAAGAGAUUUCCCUUGCUCUAAAUUUGUACUGAAAUGUCAAAGACAUGAUUAUUAGUUAAAGCAAUAAUAGAUACCCCAAGUUCCAAUCUUCUUUCUUGUGGGCUUUUUUUAUUCAAUCUAGCUAGAUUUCUGUCACAGUCAUACUACACAGCAAAUUUAUGAUCCCCAAAUUGACGUGAUGCAAUCAUACAUGUUCAGUUUUUUAGGUGCUUUGUAGAAAACUUAGUCUUUUGUGGCCUUUAGGCGAGUUCUACAAAAUGUAGUACCUUUUUAAUCAUUUAAUAUAACUUGCAAGUUGGUGUUUUUAUUGUUGGUUCUGUUGGAAAUGAUUAGAAGCAAAACAUAAGUUGUAAAAACAUAUUCAGAAACUCUACUACGCGCGCGAUGGGUCGCUCGAUUGGGAAGCAUGCAACCCGUCACCCUCGUCGCGCUCGCCUCCUCCUCCCCCCCCCCCCCCCCCCCCCCCGAGCUGUUCGCUGAUCUAUUGUGAGAAAAAUACUGUUGGCUGGCAAAAAAAAGUACGGCUAUAAGACAAGCGAACUUGGCUAGCAGGAGAAUAUGGCUGAAAUUACUUUCCACUGAUUCUUUUUGCAGGAGAAUAUGGCUGAAAUUACUUUCAUUGCUUAUUUGCCACUGAUUCUCUUUGCAGGAGAAUAUUGGUGAAACAAUAACUUGACAUAGAGUUCUAGACCAAAGAAGCAAUGGAAAGGGAAUCGUCUACCACAUAUGAGCCAAAAAGGAACUGUGAAAUAAGGGUUUUUGAGAGUUCAGAUGAAAUUUCAACAGAUCUUGCUGAGUAUAUCUCGCAAAUUUCAGAAAUUUCUGUCAAAGAAAGGGGAUACUUUGCCAUCGCCUUAUCUGGUGGUCCCCUAGUCAGUUUUUUGGGGUAAUAUUAUUUCCUCAUAUUUAUUAGAUAUUCUACUCUAUUAUGUACUAGAAUUGUUUACAUAGUUUGCAUUCCAAUUUCUGAACUUUCUCUCCUUCAAUUACUACAAGGAAACUUUGUGAAGCACCAUACAACAAGACCCUGGACUGGUCCAAAUGGUACAUCUUCUGGUCUGAUGAACGUGCCGUUGCAAAAAACCAUGCAGAGAGUAACUAUAAGUUAACAAAAGAAGGAUUUAUUGCCAAGGUAUGUGAACUGAAGAUGCCUUAUUUUUCUUUUCCAUUUUUUGUCCGUGCUGCAGCCUAAAUAAGCUUAUGUCAAGAAUUUUUGUCAUUAAGAUCAGCUUAUUUUGUAUUGAAAUGGUGCUGUCUGUCAUGGUGUCACCUACUCUAUGUUUCCUUCAAAAGUGAGUUAAUUUGGCUCUAUUUUUGUUUAUUUUUCUGUACCAACCUGUUGGGCUAUGUAUUUCUAUAGAUAGGCCCUUGGGCUUAUAGCCCAUUGUCUGUGUUGGUGUAUGUGUUAUAUAUAUAUGUAUGUAUCAAAGACACAGAAAGUGGAGUGGUCUCUGGAAUUUUCCAUACCCCUUCAUGGUGUCGGAGCCUGGUUAGAGAGAGAGAGAGAGCUCGGCGACAGGAGUGACGGACUGGAUCUAGAGAUGUCCAGGCGCCUGAGGUUAGAUUGCCUGGCUGAGGAGUGCACCCGUGCUGCUCCUGUUGGUGGACCUGCUGCUGUGGUACCUCCUGCUACUGGUGCCUUGCUCUGUGGUGAAGAAGGAAGAGAAGGGAAAGCAUCCAGUGGAAGAAGGAAGCAGGUGCGUGUGUCAUCUCUGUUGGCUAUAGUGUGGCUCUUGUGUGGUUGUUGGAGAAAGGGUGCCUGCUGCACAGGGCAUAUAUGCUAUAUACCCUGGGGAUUUAGUUGAGCUAGAAGUUUGUGUGCUGCUUGGUGUCUCUUGAUAACAAAGGCAUCUUAUUAGUUACUGUUGUAGCUCAUACAUGAUGGGGGAAAAUCAAGGAAUUGAGCAAGUGCUUGGAAAAUUGGUAGAACUACUUACUGCAAAGAAGGAUGAGGUCUCAUCUUCAAGCAGAGAAAUUGUUGUUCAUGCUGAACCUGUCCAAAAGAUAGAGUUGAUGCCAAAUGAUGUCAAAUUAGAGGGCAUAAAAAAUUACUUGGCUUGGUCUAGAAGGGCACUUCGGUUGUUGAAAGCAAAAAAACUUGAAGGCUUCGUCAUUGGGGAAUCAUCUGAGCCAUCAGAUAAGUCAAGUCCUGAAUGGAGCACAUGGGAUGCUACCAACUCUCUGGUAGCAGCGUGGAUGUUGAGUUCUAUGACUCCGGUCAUUGCAAACACAGUAGAUACAAUUGUGAGUGCAAAAGAGAUAUGGAAAGCUUUGGAAAAGAUGUAUUCAGGUGUUGGAAAUGUGAUGCUGAUGGUUGAAAUAGAAGACAGACUCCAUGAUCUCAAACAGGGGGAGCGGUCGGUGAUGGAAUAUGUUGCUGAGUUGAAGAGUUUGUGGGCUGAUGCAGAUCAUUAUAAACCUAUCGAGUUGCCACACUCAGAGUGUGUGACAUGGGUGAAGAAGUGGAUAGAAGAAAAGAGAGUCAUUCAUUUCUUAAGGGGGCUGAACCCAGAGUUUGAGGCAAGGCGUUCUGCUAUUUUUCAUCAACCGACUCUUCCUAGCCUAGAUGAGGCCAUAGCUGCUAUUUCACAAGAGGAGUAUAGACUAAAGGUGAUGAGGGAGACUGCUACAUCACCAUCUCCUGCAUCCUUACCUCGUCCAAUUUUUGCAGCAACAGAAAUGAAAGAAAAUAGAAAGUGUUUCAAUUGUGGUGACACUGGACACUUGAGUCGUGAUUGUCCUAAGCCACUCAGGCCCAACAAUGGUAGAGGAAGAGGUACCAGAGGUGCUCUUAGGGGUGGUAGAGGCUAUGGAGGAAGAGGUGGCUAUAGGGCCAACGUAGUGGGUAUAGAAGAGGAGCUUUCUAGAGCAGCAGCUUCAUCGGUGAAAGCUGAAGAACCCAAACAAUGGAAAGAAAAAGUUCCAACUUCAUCAAUGAAAGACGAAGAACCCAGACAAUGGAAAGAUAAAGUUGAGAGCUCAAGAGAUAAAGAUCAAGUUAAUUAUGUUGGUGACUUCGUCAACUUUGCCUACAUAGAUGAAGGUAAUUAUGCUCAUGUAUCAAUGCCUACACGCAUAUCACAGUUAAAUUGGAUUUUAGAUUCAGGGGCAUCAAAGCAUGUUACAGGUGCAUCAUGUGAGUUUGAAUCGUAUAUGCAAUAUCCCCCCACACAUAAAGAAACUAUACAAACUGCUGAUGGCACAUCACAAUUUGUUAAAGGUGUUGGAACAGUUCAGUGCACUCCAUCUAUUAAAUUGUCAUCAGUUUUGCAUGUGCCAGCUUUUCCUGUCAAUCUAGUAUCAUUGAGCGCGUUAGUUGAUAAAUUGGACUGUCGGGUUACACUUGACCGAGAAAAUUGUUUAAUUCAGGAAAGGAGGACAGGGAGGAAUCUUGGGACUGCAACCAGGCAUAGUGGAUUGUGGUAUAUGGAUCGUGAGGACACAGCUGAAGCAUUAUGUACUGUGUUGGCUGCAACGAUAGGAGAGAAGGAAGCUAAUGUGAUGUUAUUACAUUGUAGACUCGGGCAUCUUUCUUUCAACAAAAUAAGCAAAGCCUUUCCUAAUGUAAUGUGUGGGGUGGAUAAGAGCAAACUAUUUUGUGAUGCUUGUGAGUUUGCAAAACACACAAGGACAUCUUAUUUGAGUAAGGGCAUUAGAAGUGCCUCCCCUUUCAUGCUAGUACAUUCAGAUGUUUGGACAUGUCCUGUGGUUUCUAUUAGUGGAAUGAAGUACUUUGUUACUUUUAUUGACUGCUUCUCUCGAAUGACAUGGGUAUAUCUCAUGAAACAUAAAGAUGAAGUGCUAAGAUGCUUCCAAGAUUUUUGUGCCCUUGUAAAAAAUCAAUUCAAUACACAUGUAAAAAUGAUAAGGACAGACAAUGGAACUGAGUAUGUGAAUAAGGAAUUCAGUACAUUCUUGUCGGCUCAUGGUAUUAUACACCAAACCUCAUGCCCAGAUACUCCUCCACAAAAUGGAGUAGCUGAAAGGAAGAAUCGUCAUAUUUUGGAGGUUGCUCGUUCACUAAUGUUUACAAUGAAUGUUCCAAAAUUUUUGUGGAGUGAAGCUGUUUUGACUGCUACAUAUCUCAUUAAUCGCACCCCAUCGAGGAUACUUGGGAUGAAGACUCCAUGCGAAAUGUUGUUAGGUGAGAACAAAUUUGUGGUUCCUCCUAAGGUUUUUGGAUGCACAUGUUUUGUUAGAGAUCAUAGACCUUUGGUGAAUAAACUGGAUCCACGUGCAGUAAAGUGCAUCUUUGUGGGUUAUUCCUCUGGACAGAAGGGUUACAAAUGUUGGAGUCCUAAUGAGAGACGCUUGUUUAUAAGCAUGGAUGUGACAUUCAGGGAGUCAAUUCCAUAUUAUGGUGAGAAGACUGAACUAAGUUUUAUGUUUGAGCCUCAUCUUAUGGGAACUGAAGAAGUUACUCGUGAGGGGGAGAACAAUGUCAUGGAAAAUAAUUUAGUUGAAAAAGUGUCGAGUAUAGAAGGAGUGAUAAGUGGUUCCUUGUCUCAAUCAAGGAGAAUGGGAGUGGCGAAUGAUGAGUCAGUCCCGCUUCAAGAAGAGAAUUCUCAAAUUGACUUGUUCCAAAAUAAGGAUGUCUCAAAGGUGUAUACAAGAAGAAAGUUUAGGUCCUCAAUUGAGGCAACCGAGGUGGCUCCAUCAGCUCCGGUGCAUGAGAGUAACCAAGAGAUAAUUGAUGUAUCUUCAUCAUCAGAAGUUGAAGCUGAGCCAUCAUCAGAUGAUUUGCCCAUUGCACUACGGAAAGGUACACGAACUAGUGCAGGAAUGCCUCCACAAAGGUAUGGGUUUGAGCAUGAUAUAAGUAACUAUGUUUCAUAUGCUUCUUUAUCUCCUGCAUAUAGAGCAUUUGUAGCCUCACUACAAUCUGUGAAAAUUCCCAAAGAUUGGCGAGAAGCAAAAAAUGAUCCCAAAUGGCAUGAAGCCAUGCGGGAGGAGUUGAGUGCUCUUGAAAAGAACCAAACAUGGGAUCUUGUCAAACUGCCUGCAGGAAAAAGGGUUGUCACUUGUAAGUGGGUCUUCACUGUGAAACAAACACCCGAGGGUAAAGUGGAAAGGUGCAAAGCUAGAUUAGUUGCACGAGGUUAUAGCCAGACAUACGGUAUCGAUUAUGAUGAGACGUUUGCUCCCGUGGCGAAGAUGAGCACAGUAAGAAUACUAAUAUCUUGUGCAACCAAUUUUGGGUGGCCCCUGCAUCAAUUGGAUGUUAAAAAUGCUUUCCUUCAUGGAGAUCUACAAGAGGAGGUGUAUAUGGAGGUUCCACCUGGUUGGUCCAAACCUGAAGCAAGUGGGAUGGUGUGCAAAUUGAAGAAGUCUUUAUAUGGUCUCAAGCAAUCUCCUAGAGCCUGGUUUGAUAGAUUUAGAUGGGCACUAUGUGAUAUGGGAUACAAACAGUGCAAUGGAGAUCACACCUUGUUCUACAGACACUUAGGGCGUAAGAUCACAAUGUUGGCUGUGUAUGUGGAUGAUAUCAUUAUCACAGGUGAUAAUGAAGCAGAGAUUGAAUGCUUGAAGAAGAACCUAAGUAAGCAAUUUGAGGUUAAAGAUCUUGGUCAACUUAGAUACUUUCUUGGUAUUGAAAUUGCUCGAUCUCCAAAAGGCAUAUUUCUGUCACAAAGAAAAUAUGUUUUAGACUUGCUCAGUGAGACUGGCAUGCUUGGGUGUCGACCUGCAUCAACACCUAUUGAUCCAAAUCACAAGUUAUGUGCUGAAUCAGGUGAUCCAGUGAACAAGGAGAGCUAUCAGAAACUGGUCGGUAAACUCAUCUACUUAUGUCAUACAAGACCUGACAUCUCAUACGCUGUGAGUGUUGUGAGCAGGUAUAUGCAUGAUCCUAGAAGUGGACACCUGGAUGCAGUUAACCGGAUCUUAAAAUAUUUAAAAGGUAGUCCUGGUAAGGGACUUAUGUUUAAAAGCCAUUGCCAUCUUAAUGUUGAGGGAUAUUGUGAUGCUGAUUGGGCAAGUAGUCUUGAUGAUAGGAGAUCAACAUCAGGCUAUUGUGUGUUUGUUGGUGGAAAUUUAGUGUCAUGGAGAAGUAAGAAACAACCAGUUGUAUCUCGUUCUACUGCUGAAGCUGAGUAUAGAGCCAUGUCACAAGGGUUGUGUGAGAUCUUAUGGGUAAGAAACCUUUUAUCUGAAUUGAAGGUGUUGAGGAAAGGCCCUUCUAUGCUACACUGUGAUAACAAAUCAGCUAUCAGUAUCGCCAAUAAUCCAGUUCAGCAUGACAGGACCAAACAUAUUGAGAUUGAUCGCUUUUUUAUCAAGGAGAAGAUAGAUGAUGGUGUUAUAGUUUUGGGUCAUGUGACUUCAAAUGAACAAGUGGCAGAUUGCCUAACCAAAGGUUUAGGAUUAAAACAGUGUGAGUUAGCAUGUAACAAGAUGGGGAUGAUAGAUAUCUAUCUCCCAUCUUGAGGGGGAGUGUUGGGCUAUGUAUUUCUAUAGAUAGGCCCAUGGGCUUAUAGCCCAUUGUCUGUGUUGGUGUAUGUGUUAUAUAUAUAUGUAUGUAUCAAAGACACAGAAAGUGGAGUGGUCUCUGGAAUUUUCCAUACCCCUUCACAACCAGACAGGGGUUGUAUCUUACAGGAGAUCCUCUAUACUGAUGGUACACCAGUUGCUUCCAUUAAUAUUGUUUUCCCCUAUACAUACCUAAACAAUGAAAAAAUUAUUCAGUGAAAUAAGAUGUUGACAAACUCUUAUAUACAAAUUUAAUAGCUGAAGUGAGUGUCUUAUUCCUUAACCUAAAAUGCUGUUUUGGUUGUCAUGUGCAAAGUUUGGUGCCCACUGAACUAUAUGAUCUGGUGGUUUCUUUUACUAUUGAGGGAUUUUUCUUCGUGACUGAUGUUUGAUUGAAGUUUUGAUGCUGUGUUUGCUCUUUGCUUCCCAUUUUUUUUAUGCUUUUGCGUGGAAGUAAUUGAUGUGAUUAUUUGCCACCACUUGUGUUAGAUCAACCUUAAGUUACAAAAAAAAAUUUCUUUACGUUAUGUCCACCUUGUUGAAGCUACAACCAUGAACAGAAUGAACACUGUAAAGUCUACAGAGCAAGAACGAACUUGUGUCAUACCUCAAUGUUGUUUUGAUAACUAAUAAGAGUGGAAUUUUAGUUUAAUCUAGCCCUGUUUAAGAUCUUAAUAUUUUUAUUGUAUGUUGAUGGUGAUGAAUGCAUGUUAUGAAAUACUACCAAUUUUAUUUUAUGACUAAUGUGUUUUCCAAAAAAAAAUUAUGAUAGUAUUAAAUUAACUCUCAAGGUGGGUCUGACUUACGUGAGGCUUUCUGAUGUUGUAUUUUCAGAGAAAAAAAAUCCUUGUUUCAACCAAAAGUUAGGAGUUUUUGGUAUUUCUGUUUCAGGACGAGGCUUAAAAUUAUCUAGAGUACCAAUCAGAGGGAGUCAUAGAUAAUCAAGAAUUCCAUGUGUGUUGCUUCGAUUCUUUCAAAGAGAAAUCAGGUCAAGAGUAGUGGCAUACAAUAUAUUAGCUCAAAAUCUAUGAUGCUAACAUUCAAUCUCUUAUUUUUGUUCUCAUUUAUCCCUAUCCAUUUUCCUUUCCUGUUACAGUAAAAAUAUUACUGCCAAUUGCAAAGCAGAGCACAUGUCAAGGUAUUACACCUUAGACACUGAUUGGUCUGGAUGGGUGGCUGGGCUAAUUUACAUUAUGAUGUGUCAUGUUCUUGCAGUAUGAUAUUUUUCAAACUUCAGAUAAUGCUAUAUCCUGUGCCAACUUGGGGGUGGGGACUGAUUAAGGCUGCCUAACUACCGCUUUAAUAGUUCCCUCUUCCAGCUACUCUGGAAGCACCCUGCACCAACCACACAUUUCCAUAGCUAUCCAUCAUUGCCAAAUGUCAGACAAAAAACUUAUCAAAAUGGUUUCUGUCAAUAUAAGGCUGGGUCUGAACUGGUCUUUCCUCCAUGCAUUAAUGUUCAGAUUUUUAGUUUCUAUUUUUUCUAGUCUAUAAUGUUUCUUAGUUCAAGGAGCUUAACAAAAAAUCAGUUUACUUUUUUGUUUUUUAAUCUCUCUCUAUUGGGCCCAUUUAAAUCUCUAAGAGUGCAAACUGUUUUGGUUGUCUAAAAGCUUUAAUAUAACCGCAGCAUUCCCUGUUCUGCUAGUGUUACUGUUGCAUGAGAUUUUCUCAAGUGUGUCAUUCAUGUUCUUCUCUGUGGAGUCUUCUGACUAUAUGUCUGAUUCAUUCUGUUCCCUUUCUUGCCAUACCAGUUACAAUGAUUCCCAUGUUUAGCUCAAGAAGCAAAAAAUCUGAACAAGAUGUGUUAGUAUCUUUGUAAUGCUUUUGCCAAGUUAACUAUCUGAUACUUGAAUGGCAUUUACAGGUACCUAUUCCGCAUGGCCAUGUCUACUCCAUAAAUGACAAUGCCACAGUGGAGGAUGCAGCAACAGACUAUGAAUUCAUGAUCAGGCAGCUGGUUAAGGUCCGCACAAUAGGAGUCUCAGAGAGAAACGACUGUCCCAAGUUUGAUCUCAUCCUCCUUGCCAUGGGCGCUGAUGGGCAUGUGGCCUCACUUUUCCCGAACCACCCUGCCAUGGAGCUGAAAGACGACUGGGUCACCUACAUCACUGACUCCCCGCAGCCUCCUCCUGAGAGGAUCACCUUCACUCUCCCAGUAAUCAACUCAGCAUCCAACAUAGCAAUAGUGUCCACCGGUGAUGACAAAGCAAAUGCUGUUCACUUAGCAGUUUCUGACACGACUGAAGGUCCUGAUGCUCCUACAUCACUGCCUGCUAGAAUGGUCCAGCCAACGGACGGGAAGCUGGUGUGGUUUCUGGACAAGGAGGCGGCAUCAUCCCUUGAGUCCAUGAACGACGACGAUGCUUCCUUCGACCGUCAUGAGUACUAACUCUGAGGAUCUGAGGUCGUCUUGAAGUGAAUGAACGGAGGUGUGUAAGUAGGUGGUGGCAUAUGAUGGAAGACGUGCUGUUUGCUCCCCUUUUAGCUCGAUGUAUGCAUUGAUUUGUCUGAGGGUUUAGUUCCGGGAAAUCUGAAAUUGCUCUUGGUCCUUUUGCUAUGAGAGGUGAUUGAAAGCGAGGAAAUGGGUAUGCGAUGUUGAGUCAUCGAAGAACAUCAGAUUUUAACUCUGGUCGUAUGAUAUUAUGUAGUGGAAGUUAGAUUUUUUUUAUUUGUUGGUAUGUCUUUCAUGGCGUCUUCUAAAAACAUUCUGAUCCGCGAGACACCAAUCCUACUGUUCUUUUAGCCCGGAGUAUGUUUCUUCCACUGUUUUUUUUUUUCUGAACAGGAGCUGAGGCUCACUCCAUAUAUUCUGUUUGUGGUCGAACGAGUGCCUAUGAGCUGAAUGAUACAAGUGUCACUCAGCCUUAAGCGCAACACCUUAUUAACGAUGCCAGUAGGCCUGACUUGCACGUUUGGGAGGGCUGCGCUCGCAGGGCUCGAGUGCCCAGAGUAAAUGAUGAUGUCUAGUUUUAAGGUUCUAGGAGAAAAAUCAGACUACAGUAAUAGUGUAGAGUAACUCCAAUAAUGAUAUCUAAAAUAGGGUUCUACUUAUGAUUUGAGAGCUUACGUCUACUUUUGAAGACCCUGUUUUCUAAAAUCAACUUCAGCAACCCUCAAUUGAUGACUCCUAACUUUAUGAUCCUAUUGAUCACAUAUAUACUCCAUCUAUUCCAAAUUAUGAGAUGCUUUAGUUUUACAGAUACAUGGCUUUUGUUAUACACUUAGAUAUACACUAUAUCUAACAUACUAGGGUCUAAUGCCACUUGAUCCAAAGGGACAUGAAGAGAGCAACAGUGGGCAACCGAAAAUAAGGACUCCCUCCAAAGCCCCGUGAAUAAAGGGGUGAAUUUAGCAGUCCUCUAUACUAAACUAAGCUUUAGUCAAGGGAGGUAGGAGUGAUCUUACAGUUUUUUUAGCUCCUGCUGCACAAUAAAGUCUUGCCUCUUCCUUUAUCUUGCCAAUGAGUGCUUCCGCUGUGUUAUGGCCGUCAUAAAAAAUUCGAAAACAAUACGCGACGAGUCAUGCGAUUGGGAAGUGUGUGACCCGUCGCCCUCCUCGCGCUCGCCUCCUCCCCCCUAGCUCCUUCGGUCCUUCCUUCCUCCUUCGGUGCGGGUUUCGGUGGCGGCGGCGGCACCGGCGAGGCAGGCCUCCUCCUCCUCCACGCGACCACACCCACAUCCUAGCCUUUUUCCCCAACUCCGGCUAGGGUUCCGGCGGUCGUGACCCACCCUUCUUCCCCAAAUCUGAAGGGCAUAGAAGGGGCUGGCCAAGGGGAGGCAGGCCAGCGGCUUAGGGGCCCUGGCCACGGUGGUGCUGCCGAGCUAGGGAAGGGCGGGGGCACCAUGGACGAAGGGGGAGGGAAAGAAGGCGGGUGCCUCGGAUGCUAGGGCUCACACGGAUCUGGCGAACCCUAACACCCACGUUGAGCGACACCAUGGCCAGAGGGGGAGGGAAAGAAGGCGGGCAUCUCGCGUGGAGCUCCAGCAAACCCUAGCACCCACGAUGGGGGCAAGGACGAGGAUGAGAGUAGGGUGGAGAGGUGGGUGGCGCAACCACUGGCUUGGAAUGGCAGGUGAGGAAGGCAGAGACAGAGGCUUAAGAGAUGAGCAGGGUCGCGUGACCCGCGAGUGCACGACGGGUUGUGCUUUAACAAC